ACACGGACCAAGGAGUGCAACAUGCGUGCGAGUCCGCGGGUGGCAAACCCGUCGGCGCAAUGAAAGUGAAGGCAGGCGUCUGGCCUGCUGUGGCGAGAGCCCUCCUCUCCGGGGGGGCGCAUCGUCGACCGAUCCCAGGCUACGCUGUGGCGGGAUUUGAGUGAGAGCGUGCCUGUUGCGACCCGAAAGAUGGUGAACUAUGCCUGAAUAGGGUGAAGCCAGAGGAAACUCUGGUGGAAGCUCGUAGCGAUUCUGACGUGCAAAUCGAUCGUCAAAUUUGGGUAUAGGGGCGAAAGACUAAUCGAACCAUCUAGUAGCUGGUUCCCUCCGAAGUUUCCCUCAGGAUAGCUGGAGCCCGGUGCAGUUUUAUCAGGUAAAGCGAAUGAUUAGAGGUCUUGGGGCUGAAACAGCUUCAACCUAUUCUCAAACUUUAAAUGGGUAAGAAGCCCGGCUUGCUCGGUUGAAGUCGGGCGCAGAAUGCCGGGGCUCCUAGUGGGCCAUUUUUGGUAAGCAGAACUGGCGAUGUGGGAUGAACCAAAUGCCGGGUUAAGGUGCCUGAAUCGACGCUCAUCAGAUCCCAUGAAAGGUGUUGGUUGAUACUGACAGCAGGACGGUGGCCAUGGAAGUCGGAAUCCGCUAAGGAGUGUGUAACAACU
RNAcentral lists this ribosomal RNA (656 nucleotides) under Myxilla ancorata. RNAcentral describes it as "eukaryotic LSU rRNA". It matches the Rfam family "Eukaryotic large subunit ribosomal RNA", at positions 659 to 1290 of the family's 3401-position model. Lineage: Eukaryota; Metazoa; Porifera; Demospongiae; Poecilosclerida; Myxillidae. The record is from RNAcentral.